This 708-nucleotide non-coding RNA is filed under the name Pan troglodytes (chimpanzee). The record is from RNAcentral. Lineage: Eukaryota; Metazoa; Chordata; Mammalia; Primates; Hominidae.
GAGAGGGGAAAGAGGGUCUGAUUUUUUAACGAAGGGAAAGAAAAUAUGCCAUUUCUAGCGCUUCAGCCACACAAAGAAAGCGGCGGAAUGAUCCGCUCUCGGCGACCGCAAGUCCCGGCUCGCCCGGCGCCUGCGCGGCAGCGGGGGUGGGAGCUGCGGACGGCCAUGUGCGCGGCGGAGAGGCCGGGUGGCCACCGAACCUUCCCGCCUGUUCUGCGGUGGGUAGGAGUUUGGAAACUAAUGUUCCUGUGCUAACCUUCGUGUCUCUGUGACAUGACUGUUGAAAGACGGAGAGUGCGGAAUCUUUGGAGUUUAAGCUUGCCAACUGUGCGGCCUAGCAGAAUCCUGGGAGACGGAAGGACAGCCAAGAGGCUAGGAUUUACCUUUAAGUGUCCCUAGAUUCAACUAGGCAGACUGGGACGGGAGACGCUGUGAAGGGGCGUCUGGGCAUGGCUUUCCCAACCUAGUAACUGCAACUUCUAGCAUCCUACAUGUAGGACUUGGGAAUAUGUGAGACAGCGCCAAGAAUUUAAUCCAGGAGAAUUGACAAGCUUAAAUGAAAUCCAUAUUGCCCACUGAUUUUGUGCAGCUUCAGAUAAGUAAUCUUUCUCCACUUAGCCUUUUGUAACAAUUGAUGUAAUAAAGGUUUGUAGUCUUUGCGUAAUUUAUUAAAGCAUUGUGCCUAAAAUAGAAAAAAAGCAUAGGAAC